UAAAUCAAAGAAAAAAUUGAUGCAAAAGGGUCGGAGUCAGAUGAUGCUGAGUUUUCAGAUUGCAUGUUGAUCUUAUUGAAAUACAUUGAGGUGGUAGAUCAGCGCAAAGAUGACAGGAAAUUGUGAUCUUUCCUUGAUUGGGGCAGUUUUGGGCACGUUUAGGUAUUUUGGCCAUAACUUUGGCUACGGGUAUCAGAAUCACGCAUAUAAUCCCAAUUCGGAAAGCUCUUUUUGGUGCGCACAUCGUGGGCACCCAGCUAUGCUCGGUGUGCAUCAUUUUUUAGGUCAAAUUCCACUAUUUUUCCUCUGAAUUCCUAUUUUUAGUUAUUUUUACACUUUAUGGUAAUAUUUCAUUUAUGGUUUAAGAAGUGAUUCUGAACUCAAUCUGAGCCAAAUUUUUUACAGAUUACUUCUUUUAUUACAUGUUUAUUUUUUGUGUGAAUAUUGGAGUUUUGCUAUUUUUGGUAAAAUUUCUGAUAUGGUCGAUUUUCAACUAUUACAGCCCGACUUGUGUGUUGAUUUCAUCAUUCUUGGAUAUUGAUAAUUUUGAAUUGAACAUCAGAGUCAUUCUCUCUAAAUUUUUUGGGCGAUUCUUUUGUCUUCCUUCCCUGUGAAUUAUCUGUUAAAACUAACCUGCAAAAUAAUCAAUAUUCUAUCCUGCGUCACUUAGCCAUGAACUUCGUCUAGAAAAGCAUUCCUCUCCAGUGGAUCUUUCUCAACCCUCAGCCAAUAUUGUUGCUCGUUCUAGUAUGUCUUCUCGCCAAGGACAUUAGUCCUCUUCUCGGUUCAACUCCUCCUUUAGAGGAAGAGGACUUGGGUUUGGCCGAUCUUCCUAGAAUCUUAGUGGGACAUCCUUUGGUAAAAAGCCCAUAUGUCAAGUCUGCCAUCGCACCAGCCAUACUGCACUUUGAUGCUAUCACAGGUUUGAUCUCACUUAUCAAGCUGAUAGUGAUGCAAACCCAUCUGCUCUUCUGGCAACUCUUCAGCCAUCUCAGGCAAUUGGUAUCCCAACACUAGAGCCAUCAACCAUAUCACCUCAGACCUCAGUAAUCUCUCACUUAGUGCUGAAUUUUGUUGUGAUAAGAAUGUGUUUUUUGAGUUUCACUAUUCUCAUUUUCUUGUCAAGGAUCAAGCCACAAGCAAACUACUCCUUCGCGAUUCGAGUAUUAGUGGUCUCUACCUCUUUUCUUCCUCUCUUCAAAUCUCCAAGAAUAAAGCUGCCUUCCUCAGUGUCAAUACAUCUUUACAAAAUUCGCAUUCAAGAUUGGGGCACCCUUCCUUGCAUCUAGUUCAUCACAUUAUCUCCAAGUGCAAUUUACCUCUAUCAUCUGUCAAAGCUACUGCUCAGUGUCCAGCUCGUUGUGCAUCUAAAAGUCAUCAACUUCCCUUCUCAUAUCAAUAUCUCAUUUGAAUAAACCUUUA
Molecule: long non-coding RNA, 1422 nt
Organism: Juglans microcarpa x Juglans regia
Lineage: Eukaryota; Viridiplantae; Streptophyta; Magnoliopsida; Fagales; Juglandaceae
Exons: 3
Source: RefSeq, a predicted model, not a curated record